UCCAAACGGGCCCUAAACAAAUUUGAUUUUCAUACGUUAAACAAACACAAAACAACUUAUGAUUGCUAUAAAAAUAUCUAAAAAUUAAUCUCUAAAUUCUAAUUAAGUAUCAAAAUCACUGUUUUUUCGUUAAACAAACACAAAGCAACUUAUGAUUGCUAUAAAAAUAUCUAAAAAUUAAUAUCUAAAUUCUAAUUAAGUACCAGAAUCACUUUUUUUUUCAUAAUCCCUAACAAAAUGACCUAGAAAAUAAUAAUUAUUCAACAAAUUUAACUUAAACCCGGUCAACCCCUAAAAUACCAACUUAAAUCAAAUCCGACCGAACUCGAGAUUACCAGGAUCAUUUCUAACAAAAAUUAUAUCAAUAAGAACACAAAGAAAAAAAGAAUACCUUAGUUUUGGUUUCAAUUUUAACAUCAAGAGAAGCAAUUCUGGUAGAAAGAAUACCAGCAAGACAUUCACCAGCAAAAGGGUUAAAGAUUUGAAAACCAGGUUGAGCAACUCUUUGAAAACGACCCCACUGUUCAACAAUUCCUACGCUUGAUUGUUCAACACAUCCACAGAAUAAACAGAACGUGUUUCCCAUUUUGAUUGAUCAAUUGAAUCGGUUUUUUGGUUUAUGAUUAUGUUUUUGUUGUUUGUUUCUAUUUAUGGUAAUAGAAUUUUAAUUUCGUUGUUUGAGUGUUUUGUGGAUUUGUAUCCUACACGACUUACAUGA
RNAcentral lists this long non-coding RNA (718 nucleotides) under Medicago truncatula (barrel medic). RNAcentral's name for it is "lncRNA gene36700". Lineage: Eukaryota; Viridiplantae; Streptophyta; Magnoliopsida; Fabales; Fabaceae. The record is from RNAcentral.